AUGAUUGUGCACUGAACACCAGUUAAGGUGUCCUGUCCCAGUAAAGGAGAAGCUGUGGUCAUAGGAUAACAGUCCCAAGGAGCAGUCACCCAGAGGCUGAUCCCUGAUGACUUGCAAUCAAUAGUCUGUGAAACAAUAAGCGAGAUGCCUCCAGCUCUGUCACACGCGUCAAGAUCUGCUUC
Molecule: long non-coding RNA, 182 nt
Filed under: Cyanistes caeruleus (blue tit)
Lineage: Eukaryota; Metazoa; Chordata; Aves; Passeriformes; Paridae
Description: lncRNA (ENSCCEG00000000889.1)
Source: RNAcentral